AAAUAGUUAAGGGACAAAAUAGUCCCCAUGCCAAAAAUGACACUGUUCGAGUCUCUUUUCACGCUCUUCUUUUUGCUUUUUUACAUUUCCUUUAAAACCCAUUUGACCACAAUACAAUUGCAGAAACCCCAUAACAAAGAUCAAAACUGAAAAGUCACAGUAAUACUUUGUUUCUCCCUCCAAAAAGAAAGUCCCAGUUUCUUCCUUGCUGCGUGGUGGUGAAGUCGUCGAAGGAGAAAGUGAAGGGAUUGCAUUGUUUGGUUGCCAUCUCUCUUCAUUUACAAAGAUGGAUGAUUACUAUGUGGUUCUAGUUUUUUAUCAUGGGGAUAAUUUUAUUAGAAGAGGUGUUGGUGAGCUUGUUUAUGUGCAUGGUAAGGUAGA
This is a non-coding RNA of Arachis ipaensis, 381 nucleotides long. Lineage: Eukaryota; Viridiplantae; Streptophyta; Magnoliopsida; Fabales; Fabaceae. The record is from RefSeq and is a predicted model, not a curated record.